GUAGCAGCGGAGGCGAGCGGAGGGUUUCCCGCGGCGGGUGAGGCGCUGGAGUCUCACUCUGCUGCCUAGGCUGAGUGCAGUGGUGUGAUCAAGGCGCACUGCAGCCUUGACCUCCUGGGCUCAAGCGAUCCUCACCUCGGUCUACCGAGUAGCUGGGACUACAGGCACGCGCCACUACACUCGGGUCAUCUUAUGCAGAUAUGCUACAUGACAAAGACAGAAAUGUAAAAUACUACCAAGGUAUCCGGGUUGCCGUGAGCAGGGUGAAGGACAGAGGACAGAAGGCCUUGGUUCUCGACAUUGGCACUGGCACGGGACUCUUGUCAAUGAUGGCGGUCACAGCAGGUGCCGACUUCUGCUAUGCCAUCGAGGUUUUCAAGCCUAUGGCUGAUGCUGCUGUGAAGAUUGUGGAGAAAAAUGGCUUUAGUGAUAAGAUUAAGGUUAUCAACAAGCAUUCCACCGAGGUGACUAUAGGUCCAGAGGGUGACAUGCCAUGCCGUGCCAACAUCCUGGUCACAGAGUUGUUUGACACAGAGCUGAUCGGGGAGGGGGCGCUGCCCUCCUAUGAGCACGCACACAGGCAUCUCGUGGAGGAAAAUUGUGAGGCCGUGCCCCACAGAGCCACCGUCUAUGCACAGCUGGUGGAGUCCAGGAGGAUGUGGUCGUGGAACAAGCUAUUUCCCAUCCACGUGCAGACCAGCCUCGGAGAGCAGGUCAUCGUCCCUCCCAUGGACCUGGAGAGCUGCCCUGGCGCACCCUCUGUCUGUGACAUUCAGCUGAACCAGGUGUCACCAGCCGACUUUACAGUCCUCAGCGAUGUGCUGCCCAUGUUCAGCAUAGACUUCAGCAAGCAAGUCAGUAGCUCAGCAGCCUGCCAUAGCAGGCGGUUUGAACCUCUGACAUCUGGCCGAGCUCAGGUGGUUCUCUCGUGGUGGGACAUUGAAAUGGACCCUGAGGGGAAGAUCAAGUGCACCAUGGCCCCCUUCUGGGCACACUCAGACCCAGAGGAGA
RNAcentral lists this small RNA (1011 nucleotides) under Pan troglodytes (chimpanzee). RNAcentral's name for it is "processed transcript". The record is from RNAcentral. Lineage: Eukaryota; Metazoa; Chordata; Mammalia; Primates; Hominidae.